Molecule: ribosomal RNA, 252 nt
Filed under: uncultured bacterium
Lineage: Bacteria
Description: partial 16S ribosomal RNA
Rfam family: Bacterial small subunit ribosomal RNA
Source: RNAcentral
UACGGAGGAUGCGAGCGUUAUCCGGAUUUAUUGGGUUUAAAGGGUGCGUAGGCGGGCUUUUAAGUCAGCGGUAAAAAUUCGGGGCUCAACCCCGUCCGGCCGUUGAAACUGGGGGCCUUGAGUGGGCGAGAAGAAGGCGGAAUGCGUAGUGUAGCGGUGAAAUGCAUAGAUAUCACGCAGAACCCCGAUUGCGAAGGCAGCCUUCCGGCGCCCUACUGACGCUGAGGCACGAAAGUGCGGGGAUCGAACAGG